UACGGAGGAUGCGAGCGUUAUCCGGAUUCAUUGGGUUUAAAGGGUGCGUAGGCGGCCCGGUAAGUCAGCGGUGAAAGUUUGCGGCUCAACCGUAAAAUUGCCGUUGAUACUGUCGGGCUUGAGUUCAGAUGAAGUGGGCGGAAUGAGUAGUGUAGCGGUGAAAUGCUUAGAUAUUACUCAGAACACCGAUUGCGAAGGCAGCCCACUAAACUGUGACUGACGCUGAUGCACGAAAGCGUGGGGAUCGAACAGG
Molecule: ribosomal RNA, 253 nt
Filed under: uncultured bacterium
Lineage: Bacteria
Description: partial 16S ribosomal RNA
Rfam family: Bacterial small subunit ribosomal RNA
Source: RNAcentral